UUAAUUAAAGAUUAAAAUAAUUUAAGAAUAUUGUGUGGAAUAACACAGGCCGCAUAUGGUAACGGUUUUGCUCAUUAUUGAAGGUUACAUACGGUUACCUUUAGAUGCUAAUACCAACGUUGUUUUACAGCUGAGUUGUCUCAUAGGCAAUCAUUCCGCAACUCCUAACACUAAAUAAUUAAAGAAAUCUUAUGUGGAAUCAAAUCGGCCGCAGGGGGAAAACAGUAAACGAGGCCUGGCAAGACGAUACAAACCGCCGGCAUUUUUAAUAUUGGCAAGUAGGUGUUCUUCUGGUUACAGAAGUAACAAAAGUUCCUCUAAGCAAAAUUAGAGUGAACGAGGAGCACGACCCCACACUGACGCUAGGCCAUAACUUGAAUAACGCUUCCUCGGUACUCGGAGGAUAAAAUUCAAAACUGGUAACAGUGAUGAACCGGCGUUUUUGAAAAUACGUAAUAAAUGCAAAUUCGAAAAAAAUAAACUGAGUAUGCAGUCUAUACAGGCUUUGUUGAAAUUGCAUAUGAAAAACGAAUUAAAACUUCUUUUACUACGGUCAGAUAUA
This 562-nucleotide long non-coding RNA is filed under the name Mytilus galloprovincialis (Mediterranean mussel). The record is from RNAcentral. Lineage: Eukaryota; Metazoa; Mollusca; Bivalvia; Mytilida; Mytilidae.